Carassius auratus (goldfish) is the source of this 2070-nucleotide long non-coding RNA. RefSeq lists it as uncharacterized. The record is from RefSeq and is a predicted model, not a curated record. The transcript has 8 exons. NCBI's taxonomy places the organism in Eukaryota, Metazoa, Chordata, Actinopteri, Cypriniformes, Cyprinidae.
CUUUUACUGGAGUAAUAUUUUACCAUAUGUAUCUGUACUUUUACUCAAGUACUUGAUUUGUGUACUUCGUCCACUACUGCCGGAGACUCAGCGUCAAAUGGAUGAACUACAUUAUUGACUCACUGUCCCUGAGAAAGGGCAUUUACUACCAGGCAGAGGUCCUGGGACAAACCAUCACAUGGAUCACACCAUAUCAGUCUGCCCAUGAUGUGUCUUUUGUCAAAUUCAAGCUUGCUCGGUAAAUAGUUGAAUUUUAGGAGGCAGCGCCGGACCAUUUCCCUGCUGAAGGAAACUUAUUUGACUUGGAGAAAAUGGAGGCGAGAGAGAAGAUGGAGCAAAACAAACAGAAGAAGCUCUUUUCGAAGAACAGAAGUUUUUCCUAAACAAAGAAGUUCCCAGGGAAUCACUGGCUUUUCUCAUCAGGUGAUUCGGUGGACAGGUGUCCUGGGAUAAAUCCCUGUGCAUCGGCAGCACAUAUGAGGAAACAGAUGAAAUGAUCACACAUCACAUUGUGGACAGACCUACCGUCGACAAACAGUAUCAACAGGUACUACAUCCAGCCCCAGUGGGUGUAUGACUGUGUGUGAAGAUGCUGUUACCUGAUGAGGAAUAUUACCUGGGAGUUACACUGCUGGCUCAUUUGUCAUCUGUCGCCAUUCAUGGAAGAGAAGACGGAAAAAGAGGAGCAGGAGGAGGAUGAAGAUGACGAAGAGGAAGAUGAUCAAAGUGAGUAAGAAGAUGAGUCUGAAGAUGAAGCAAAUUUGGCUUAAAUGGAGGAGAAGAAAACUCAGGGAAAGGUGACCCCUGGUAAAGUGAAACCAGAGAACCGCAUGCAAACCAAACAAGAGGAGAAAACAGAGGAGAAGAGGCUGACCAUUGUGAUGAUGGAGAAGAGAGAGAAAUACCUUUAUGACAAGAUAAUGUUUGGCUAACAAGCUGGCAGCUAAGAGGAAAGCUCACGAUGACGCCAGCAAAGCAGACAAGAAGCAACAGCAGAAGAAAAAGUGCUGAUUUUUAUAUGUAAUUGUCCUUUGUCCUAUGUAAGUCCUUCUUGUGCUUUUUCUCUCUGCCAAGAGACUUUGAGAAGUGUUUCUUCUCUCAUUUCAUCUCAUUUCAUCUCAUUGCAUCAUUUACAGUUUUUUACAGACGCUAGGACACAUUUCUCAAUACUUAGGUCACUUUUGCAAAACUCUUCACACAGUGAGCACAACAGAAGUCUACUGUAUGUGGGCUAAACUGAGGAUCAAUUAUCAUUGCUUUGGCACAAAAUGCAUUAAAUGACUACAUCUCUCAAAUUUCAUGAAUUCUUUUCUCAGUCAGACACAAGAAGUGCCAAAACUCUUUACGUAUGGGCCAAUUUGCACAUGCUUACAUACUGUUUUCAAAACUGUUAAACUGAUGUUCAAAACAAUUCAGUUUUUUACAGACGCUAGGACACGUUUCUCAAUACUUAAGUCACUUUUGCAAAACUCUUCACACAGUUCUCCUAACCAACUUUCAGCUUGGCAAAGCAGUUCAUUUCACAUUCAAAAAUGCACUACAACUACCAAAACACUUCAUUCAGGUCUCAAAUCAACUCAUUCUUCCAGAACACUAGCAAUGGUCGAAGCCGACAAACACACUUUGUCACCCACAAAACAAUGACCUAAAAAACACUAACAACAUGUAGCAUUAUACAAUGUUUUCUUGUGUAAAACAAGAACACAUUUCUAAUAAACUUACUGUAAGAUAAUUAUUUUCUUUUAAUGAAUGUAUUUAUUCUGUGUGCAUGUUUCAAAUUUGUGAACAUUUUUAAUGUACUGAUUUGGACAAAGGAAGUUUAUUUUAAUUGAGUUGAAAAGAACUGAUGACAAAAAGCUGCCAUAUCAACAUUGCAAAUAGCUCUCAGUAUGCUUACUAGAGUAUGAGUUACUACAUUGACUAUUUACUCACGCUAGUCAUAAAUUGUACAUUGUUUGAUAAAAUAGAAGGCAUGUACACUGCUGUUUAAAAGAUUCCUUUUUAUAGAAAUUUAUAUUUUUAAUUAGUGAGGAUGCAUCAAAAAAGUAAAAAGAUAAAUGCUUAAAGAUA